GGCUGGGUAGCAAAGUGGUUAUGCAGCGGUUUGCAAAACCGUAGACGCCGGUUCAAUUCCGACCCCAGCCUCCA
This 74-nucleotide transfer RNA is filed under the name Cardiobacteriaceae bacterium. RNAcentral describes it as "tRNA-Cys". It matches the Rfam family "tRNA". Rfam says of the family: Transfer RNA (tRNA) molecules are approximately 80 nucleotides in length. Their secondary structure includes four short double-helical elements and three loops (D, anti-codon, and T loops). Lineage: Bacteria; Pseudomonadati; Pseudomonadota; Gammaproteobacteria; Cardiobacteriales; Cardiobacteriaceae. The record is from RNAcentral.